RNAcentral lists this small nuclear RNA (101 nucleotides) under Crocodylus porosus (Australian saltwater crocodile). Lineage: Eukaryota; Metazoa; Chordata; Crocodylia; Crocodylidae. The record is from RNAcentral.
GGGCUUUGGCAGCACAUAUACUAAAACCGGGAUGAUAGAGAAGUUUAGCAUGGGCCCUGCACAAGGAUGACAUGCAAACUCAAGAAGCAUUCCAUAUUUUG